GCAAUCAUCUGAUUUUUCUCCUUAGACCUAUUAGUAAGAAUCCUACCCAGAUUCUUGCACCUCUGGCAUUAAAAAACCAGGCCAUGCUUCGCUGAAAUACACGUGACAUAUCGCUUCUUCUCUUCUAAAAGGAGAGGAUAAAAUGGACACAUUUGAACAGUUCAUCUUUCAUAUUCUUUUUAUAUGUUGGUGUGUGACACAGUUCAUACUGAGUUGACAAAGGAUUAAAGCAAUCAUUUGCUUUGUUGUGUGAAGAAAAGAAGAAGGGAGAGAUGUUGAUCAUCUUUCAAAGGUGGAAAAUAUCUUAAGGAUCAUCUAAUUUAAACUUCUCCUCUUACAGAUUGAAAAAAGCACAGAGGCCUCUCAGGGCUUGCCCGAUAUCGCGUUCGUAGGUCACCAUAAAUAAAAACCAGGUGUUUUGACUCUAAA
Molecule: long non-coding RNA, 429 nt
Organism: Suricata suricatta (meerkat)
Lineage: Eukaryota; Metazoa; Chordata; Mammalia; Carnivora; Herpestidae
Exons: 3
Source: RefSeq, a predicted model, not a curated record